RNAcentral lists this ribosomal RNA (301 nucleotides) under uncultured bacterium. RNAcentral describes it as "partial 16S ribosomal RNA". It matches the Rfam family "Bacterial small subunit ribosomal RNA", at positions 509 to 809 of the family's 1533-position model. The record is from RNAcentral.
CAGUAGCCGCGGUAAUACGAAGGGUGCAAGCGCUAAUCGAAAUUACUGGGCGUAAAGCGUGCGCAGGCGGUGAGUUAAGUCUGCUGUGAAAUCCCCGGGCUCAACCUGGGAAUGGCAGUGGAUACUGGCUCGCUAGAGUGUGUCAGAGGAUGGUGGAAUUCCCGGUGUAGCGGUGAAAUGCGUAGAGAUCGGAAGGAACAUCUGUGGCGAAGGCGACUAUCUGGGCCAACACUGACACUGAGACACGAAAGCGUGGGGAGCAAACAGGAUUAGAUACCCCGGUAGUCCCUGUCUCUUAUAA